GACGAACGCUGGCGGCGUGCUUAACACAUGCAAGUCGAACGGAAAGGUCCCUUUUGGGGUACUCGGGUGGCGAACGGGGGAGUAACACGUGAGUAACCUGGCCUUGACUUCGGGAUAACUUCAGUAAACUGGGGCUAAUACCGGGGAGCAAUCCUUUCUGCAUGGUGGAGGGUGGAAAGCUGCGGUGGUUUGGGAUGGACUCGCGGCUUAUCAGCUUGUUGGUGGGGUAGUGGCUUACCAAGGCUUUGACGGGUAGCCGGCCUGAGAGGGCGACCGGCCACAUUGGGACUGAGAUACGGCCCAGACUCCUACGGGAGGCAGCAGUGGCGGAUAUUGAAAAAUGGGCGGAAGCCUGAUGCAGCACCGCCGCGUGCGGGAUGACGGCCUUCGGGUUGUAAACCGAAUUCAGCAGGGGCGAAGCUUGUGGUGACGGUACCUGCAGAAGAAGCACCGGCUAACUACGUG
RNAcentral lists this ribosomal RNA (465 nucleotides) under uncultured bacterium. RNAcentral's name for it is "partial 16S ribosomal RNA". It matches the Rfam family "Bacterial small subunit ribosomal RNA", at positions 28 to 507 of the family's 1533-position model. The record is from RNAcentral.